Long non-coding RNA from Phyllostomus discolor (pale spear-nosed bat), 459 nucleotides. RefSeq lists it as uncharacterized. The transcript has 3 exons. The record is from RefSeq and is a predicted model, not a curated record. Lineage: Eukaryota; Metazoa; Chordata; Mammalia; Chiroptera; Phyllostomidae.
UCGUGUCCCCGGCGCGGCGUGCGUCCCGGCCUUGGGCGCGGGCACCUGCGGGCCCCCCGCCGCUGUACCGAGGCGUCCGGCGGGCAGUGAGUCUGCGAGCUCGGCCUGCCCGGCGGGGAAGGGCGGCGGGGCCUGGGCCUCCGGCCCCGGACUCGGAACCGCCGCUGCAGUUUCACCUGGUUACUGCUCGAGGGGCCCAUUUCCGGCCGUGUGACUGGAUGUUACACCUGGCCUGCCCUCUGAAGGGGAGAAGGCCCCUGACCUGGCCCCGAGGGGGCGGGGCUCUGCCGUCCAAUCUGCCCUUCCCAGUGUGGUCUUGACGCCUCUGACAGCGAGCCCCUGGGGGACCGGUGGACAGGAGAGCCGGCUGGAGGACCUUGGCUGCCACCCAAGCCUUGCACCACCAGGCUGGGGGCUGGCCGGCGGAGCUGGCGUCGGUGACCGUGGGGCCAGGGCCAG